CCUACGGGAGGCAGCAGUGAGGAAUAUUGGUCAAUGGACGAGAGUCUGAACCAGCCAAGUAGCGUGAAGGAUGACUGCCCUGUGGGUUGUAAACUUCUUUUAUAUGGGAAUAAAAUGUUCCACGUGUGGGAUUUUGUAUGUACCAUAUGAAUAAGGAUCGGCUAACUCCGUGCCAGCAGCCGCGGUAAUACGGAGGAUCCGAGCGUUAUCCGGAUUUAUUGGGUUUAAAGGGAGCGUAGGUGGAUUGUUAAGUCAGUUGUGAAAGGUUGCGGCUCAACCGUAAAAUUGCAGUUGAAACUGGCAGUCUUGAGUAGAGUAGAGGUGGGCGGAAUGCGUGGUGUAGCGGUGAAAUGCUUAGAUAUCACGAAGAACUCCGAUUGCGAAGGCAGCUCACUGGACUGCAACUGACACUGAGGCUCGAAAGUGUGGGUAUCAAACAGGAUUAGAUACCCGUGUAGUC
This 460-nucleotide ribosomal RNA is filed under the name uncultured bacterium. Its description in RNAcentral is "partial 16S ribosomal RNA". It matches the Rfam family "Bacterial small subunit ribosomal RNA", at positions 338 to 795 of the family's 1533-position model. The record is from RNAcentral.